Non-coding RNA from Onthophagus taurus, 853 nucleotides. Lineage: Eukaryota; Metazoa; Arthropoda; Insecta; Coleoptera; Scarabaeidae. The record is from RefSeq and is a predicted model, not a curated record.
AAUAUAUAUAUUAUUUUUAAUAUAUUUUAGAGGGAUCAGUUAAGAGAUCAUGAGGAGAGAGUUACUAGACUGGCCAGCGAGCUCGAAGAACAUCGAAAAGCGCCCCCGGAAAGAGGCGCAAAAUCGCUAAUUGUGCAGAAUUACAAAGAAAAAGUGGCCUACCUUACUUAUGAACUUCAAAGAUACAGCAUUUACGUUCACGUAUUAAAAUCUCGAAUUUCCGAUGCGGGAAUCUGCGUUUUGGAGAAUAGUAUCGGGGAAUUAGAGGACGAAGCGAGCGGGGUGGGUUACGGUGGAAGCGGUGAAAGUGGAUCGUCAACGACAACCGUUUCUGAGGGGAAAUCACCGCCCAUCAAUAGGUUUACAGCUAUCUCAGUUCAUAUAAAAUACUUUCCGAAAUACGAGCCCUUAAGAGGUGAUAACUGACACAGGCAGACGACGGACUAAUGAAGAAUAAAAAAUAAGAUAUAUAAAAAGGGCGGAUGUCUCGUGCAAUAGGAAUCGAUGAAUUCAAAAGGAAAAGAAGAUAAAUAAUAAUAGAAAAAAUCAAGUUGAAGUAAUUCUUUUCGAACAAAAAUAAUAUCAUCCCUUCAUAACAUUCAAUUUUUAAACAAGAAACAAAGUUGAUUCGUUCUAUUUACCAAAGAAAUUAGUUUAUCAAAUUUACUAAGCUGGAUAAUGUUUAAAUGCGAACGAACGACACCCAUUAUAUAUAAUUAUAUAAUUAUUUUUUAUAUAGAUACGAUUAUUAUAAUUGCUUUUUCGCCGCUACAUUUCCAUCUAUUUUUUAAUGUAUAUAAUGUGCUUUAAUUGUAUUUUUUAUUUCAUCUGUGAAAUAUAUUUUAUUUUGAAA